ACGGGAGGCAGCAGUGGGGAAUAUUGCACAAUGGGGGAAACCCUGAUGCAGCGACGCCGCGUGAGUGAAGAAGUAUUUCGGUAUGUAAAGCUCUAUCAGCAGGGAAGAAAAUGACGGUACCUGACUAAGAAGCCCCGGCUAACUACGUGCCAGCAGCCGCGGUAAUACGUAGGGGGCAAGCGUUAUCCGGAUUUACUGGGUGUAAAGGGAGCGUAGACGGCGAUGCAAGUCUGAUGUGAAAGCCCGGGGCUCAACCCCGGCACUGCAUUGGAAACUGUGUUGCUAGAGUGCAGGAGAGGUAAGUGGAAUUCCUAGUGUAGCGGUGAAAUGCGUAGAUAUUAGGAGGAACACCAGUGGCGAAGGCGGCUUACUGGACGAUUACUGACGCUGAGGCUCGAAAGCGUGGGGAGCAAACAGGAUUAGAUACCCUGGUA
RNAcentral lists this ribosomal RNA (434 nucleotides) under uncultured Clostridium sp. RNAcentral describes it as "partial 16S ribosomal RNA". It matches the Rfam family "Bacterial small subunit ribosomal RNA", at positions 341 to 792 of the family's 1533-position model. Lineage: Bacteria; Bacillati; Bacillota; Clostridia; Eubacteriales; Clostridiaceae. The record is from RNAcentral.